Long non-coding RNA from Sinocyclocheilus grahami, 584 nucleotides. RefSeq lists it as uncharacterized. The transcript has 3 exons. The record is from RefSeq and is a predicted model, not a curated record. Lineage: Eukaryota; Metazoa; Chordata; Actinopteri; Cypriniformes; Cyprinidae.
ACUAACCCUCCUGUGUUGCUUACUGAGUCUUAUCAUUAUGUCUUAUACAGUGAUUUAUGGUGGCAAACUAAACACCAGACACCAAUUUAAGUCCAUAAACACAUCAAAAGUGAUUUUGUGAUAUUUAAGAGCGGUUUUAUUUAGAGGCGGCGCUUGUUGGCAACAGAGUAACGUCGCAACGACACUUUUUUUUCAAUCCCAGUAAAAGAGUUUGAGCAGGAACAGAGUUGUGUAUAUGUAGCAGGGGGGUCCGGCUGCAUCUGGGGGGUGACUGCUGAUUUUCAGCACGUUUAUUUUAUUUUUUUCUAUUUUAUUUUCUCCUUGUUUUCCCUACUUCGAGCAAUCCAUUGCACGCGCCGAUAUAUUUGGACGUACAUAUUUUAGUAUAGACCAUGAACAAACUCUAUGUGGGGAAUCUGAGUCCUUCGGUGACCGUGGAGGACCUGAAGCAGCUCUUCGGUGAGAGGAAGCUUCCCGUGACCGACCAGGUCCUGCUCAAAUCCGGCUAUGCCUUCGUGGACUUCCCCGACCAGAACUGGGCGAUUAAAGCCAUCGAGACUCUAUCUGGUAAAGUUGACUUACAU